GAGGAGCCACUCCCUCUCCAUGAUAUCCUGAUGCAAAUCUUCAGUGUGUGCAGUGUACUUCUGUCCUGCUGACUGCUCUUGUACUUUGUGUGGAGCAUCAGAGGUCACAUCUCCAGCCUCAGGAUGAUGAACACACUCACUCUUCUGCUGGUUGCUCUCUCUCUGCCCUGUUGUACAGGUCAGAGUAUGGAGUCCAUUCCUUCCAGUUCAGUAGUGAAAAAGCCUGGUGAGACUCUCAGUCUCUCCUGCAGGGGAUCUGGCUUCACAUUUAGCUGCUAUGCUAUGAGCUGGAUCAGACAACCUGCAGGAAAAGGACUGGAAUGGAUCGGGAGAGGCUUCUCCGAUGCCAGCAAAAACACUUAUGCCAGCAGUGUAAGAGGCCGUGCAGAAGUCAGUAGAGAUGACAGCAACAGCAUGGUGUAUCUGAGACUGUCCAACUUAAAGCCAGAGGAAGAAGCAGAGAGGCUGUACAAAAACUCCACAGACAUUUUUUUCACAAAGACCUACAGGUGGCAGUCGAAGAUAAGACUUGGUACAACACAAACUAAGACACUAUGAAAGACACAGCAGAUGUUGUGGUUUGUUACAUCCUGUUUUUCAAUGUAAUUGUUAAUAAUGUUCCCAUUAUUGAUUUUUAACAGUGCUGAGAAUAUAUUUGGACAAUAUAUCCAGGAUAUGGAUGGUUAAACAAAUGCUGCCAAAGAGAAUGAUAAAUACCUCUAAUCUGAAUAUAAAUAAAAGUUACAGUUGAAUAACUUGAAAAGAAUCUGCAUUAUUAAAAAUAUAUAUGAUCAUGAU
Non-coding RNA from Epinephelus fuscoguttatus (brown-marbled grouper), 798 nucleotides. Lineage: Eukaryota; Metazoa; Chordata; Actinopteri; Perciformes; Serranidae. The record is from the annotation of a RefSeq genome assembly.